Molecule: ribosomal RNA, 394 nt
Filed under: uncultured bacterium
Lineage: Bacteria
Description: partial 16S ribosomal RNA
Rfam family: Bacterial small subunit ribosomal RNA
Source: RNAcentral
AUACGGAGGAUGCAAGCGUUAUCCGGAUUUAUUGGGUUUAAAGGGUGCGUAGGCGGAUGAUUAAGCGUGAGGUGAAAUGCCACUGCUCAACAGUGGAACUGCCUCGCGAACUGGUUGUCUUGAAUGCUCCUGCCGUGGGAGGAAUGUGUGGUGUAGCGGUGAAAUGCAUAGAGAUCACACAGAACACCGAUUGCGAAGGCAUCUCACGAAGGGGUGAUUGACGCUGAGGCACGAAAGCGUGGGGAUCAAACAGGAUUAGAUACCCUGGUAGUCCACGCAGUAAACGAUGAUAACUAACCGCUGGGUCGUAGUGAUUCAGUGGCCAAGCGAAAGCGAUAAGUUAUCCACCUGGGGAGUACGACCGCAAGGUUGAAACUUAAAGGAAUUGGCGGGG